RNAcentral lists this long non-coding RNA (494 nucleotides) under Felis catus (domestic cat). RNAcentral describes it as "lncRNA (ENSFCAG00000047520.1)". The record is from RNAcentral. Lineage: Eukaryota; Metazoa; Chordata; Mammalia; Carnivora; Felidae.
CUUUUCCUUUUUGCUUAAGUGUUUCUUGGUAUGUUGCCUGGGAAGUUAGAUAUGUUAUUAUAACACAGUGAGGAAUUAUGUAAGACGAAGCCCAGCUUGCUUUUCUUUUUCCUUCCAGUUCUACUAUGCCUUAGACAAAACUCAACCAUUCUCUUCCAUGAUGUAGAAUGGCUACUAAAAAGGAAGAAGAAAAGAAAGCUUUCAGAGGACAGUGAAGAGCUAUAGAGAAAAUCCCUUCUGGGAGCACCAUGAUCCCCAGGGAGCACUAUGAUACCUGGAGGCGGUAGAGAAAAAGACCCAAGUUCAGGAAGAUUAAGUCACUUUCCGGAGCCAUUUAAUAGCUGGGGUUAUAUUCCUGGUUUGAGGAACUGUCGAGCUGGAUCCAAUCCUAGGUCCACCCAACCCAAGAUUCGAAUGAUCGCAGAAGUCUGAAGGGAUGUGUCGGGAGACGGCCAAUCAAUAAAUGCAACCUAAAUGUAGGUUAAUUAACCUAC